AUUGAACGCUGGCGGCAGGCUUAACACAUGCAAGUCGAACGGUAACGGGGAGGGAGUUUACUUUCUCUGCUGACGAGUGGCGGACGGGUGAGUAAAGCUUGGGAAUCUGGCGAAUGGAGGGGGAUAGCCACGGGAAACUGUGGGUAAUACCGCGUAAGGUCUAAGGACUAAAGGGGUGGGACUGUGAGAGGCCACCUGCCAUUUGAUGAGCCCAAGUGGGAUUAGGUAGUUGGUGAGGUAAGGGCUCACCAAGCUGACGAUCUCUAGCUGGUCUGAGAGGAUGGCCAGCCACACUGGAACUGAGACACGGUCCAGACUCCUACGGGAGGCAGCAGUGGGGAAUAUUGCGCAAUGGGGGGAACCCUGACGCAGCCAUGCCGCGUGAAUGAAGAAGGCCUUCGGGUUGUAAAGUUCUUUCGGUGAUGAGGAAGGCGAUUAGUUUAAGAGAUUAAUUGAUUGACGAUAAUCACAGAAGAAGCACCGGCUAACUCCGUGCCAGCAGCCGCGGUAAUACGGAGGGUGCGAGCGUUAAUCGGAAUGACUGGGCGUAAAGGGCACGCAGGUGGUGACUUAAGUGAGGUGUGAAAUCCCCGGGCUUAACCUGGGAACAGCAUUUCAGACUGGGUGACUAGAGUACUUUAGGGAGGGGUAGAAUUCCACGUGUAGCGGUGAAAUGCGUAGAGAUGUGGAGGAAUACCGAAGGCGAAGGCAGCCCCUUGGGAAGAUACUGACGCUCGAGUGCGAAAGCGUGGGGAGCAAACAGGAUUAGAUACCCUGGUAGUCCACGCUGUAAACGAUGUCGAUUUGGGGAUUGGGUGAAUACUUGGUGCCCGAAGCUAACGUGAUAAAUCGACCGCCUGGGGAGUACGGCCGCAAGGUUAAAACUCAAAUGAAUUGACGGGGGCCCGCACAAGCGGUGGAGCAUGUGGUUUAAUUCGAUGCAACGCGAAGAACCUUACCUACUCUUGACAUCCUAAGAAGCCGCCAGAGAUGGUGGUGUGCCUUCGGGAGCUUAGAGACAGGUGCUGCAUGGCUGUCGUCAGCUCGUGUUGUGAAAUGUUGGGUUAAGUCCCGCAACGAGCGCAACCCUUAUCCUUUGU
Molecule: ribosomal RNA, 1100 nt
Filed under: Histophilus somni
Lineage: Bacteria; Pseudomonadati; Pseudomonadota; Gammaproteobacteria; Pasteurellales; Pasteurellaceae
Description: bacterial SSU rRNA
Rfam family: Bacterial small subunit ribosomal RNA
Source: RNAcentral